Long non-coding RNA from Vigna unguiculata (cowpea), 738 nucleotides. RefSeq lists it as uncharacterized. The record is from RefSeq and is a predicted model, not a curated record. Lineage: Eukaryota; Viridiplantae; Streptophyta; Magnoliopsida; Fabales; Fabaceae.
CAUCUAUAAAUCAUCUUCAAUUUCAUUUCAUCUCCAAGAAGUUCCACUGCUGCAACGAAUUACAAUUUGCGCUUUCCUUCUCUUUUCUUGCUUGAUUUUCUUGCUAUUUUUUUCUUCUUUAUUUUUUUCUGAUACUUUUUGAUGUGUUUUAUCCCCGUUUCGGUCCCAUAUACUGUGGUGUUCUUUUCUCCGGGAAAUUCUUCUGUCAAUUUCUUAUGUAUGUGGGAAAAUGCUGAGUCUGUGAUGAAGAUGUAACAGUGCUAGAGGCGACACAUUGUGUUCGUCGAUGACGGCGCAAUUAUCCUCUAAGAAGUUCUGAGCUCAACAUUUUUAAUCUAUUUUCAUUAUUGUUUAAUUGUUUGUCAAUAAUAUAUUGUUUAAAUUUCCCUUGUUGGGAAUUAGUUGAUUACUACUUUGAGCUUAUUCUGGGGAGGGAAAAAGCUAUGCGAAGUGAUGAUAGCAAUUCAUUCGUCUGUCAAUCCGCUGAUACUGCGUGAUGUUUAUAUGAAUCCCGACAGAUUAUUUGAACUUCUCUGAGAGGAAUUUGUGGAAGAAAUCUGGUCGGAAUUUGAGGAAUAAAACUGGCUAUCUACUUGGAUUUUUGUUUGUAAUAUCUACAUAUAGUUGUAUUAGAAAAUUGGAGAUCAAAAUUUUAUAGUACAAGUAAUAAAGAAACCUCUGUUUGUAAAACGUACAGAUAGUUGUAUUACGAAAGUUGGAGAUCAAAAUUUUACAGUA